AACGAACGCUGGCGGCAUGCCUAACACAUGCAAGUCGAACGAGACCUUCGGGUCUAGUGGCGCACGGGUGCGUAACGCGUGGGAACCUGCCCUUAGGUUCGGAAUAACUCCCCGAAAGGGGUGCUAAUACCGGAUAAUGUCUUCGGACCAAAGAUUUAUCGCCUUUGGAUGGGCCCGCGUUGGAUUAGCUAGUUGGUAGGGUAAAAGCCUACCAAGGCGACGAUCCAUAGCUGGUCUGAGAGGAUGAUCAGCCACACUGGGACUGAGACACGGCCCAGACUCCUACGGGAAGCAGCAGUGGGGAAUAUUGGACAAUGGGCGAAAGCCUGAUCCAGCAAUGCCGCGUGAGUGAUGAAGGCCUUAGGGUUGUAAAGCUCUUUUACCCGGGAUGAUAAUGACAGUACCGGGGGAAUAAGCUCCGGCUAACUCCGUG
This 433-nucleotide ribosomal RNA is filed under the name uncultured bacterium. Its description in RNAcentral is "partial 16S ribosomal RNA". It matches the Rfam family "Bacterial small subunit ribosomal RNA", at positions 29 to 507 of the family's 1533-position model. The record is from RNAcentral.